GUCCUUCGUGAUCGCACGAAGGACCUUCCUGAUGAGUAUUUUGUUGUGUUGGUUGGUGAUAUGGUGACGGAAGAUGCACUACCGACGUAUCAGAGCAUGAUUAAUGGUCUUGAUGGUGUUGGUGAUGAGAUUGGUGCUAGUCCAAGCCCGUGGGCCGUUUGGACACGGGCUUGGACUGCUGAAGAAAAUAGGCAUGGAGAUUUGCUUAGGACUUAUUUGUAUCUUUCUGGUAGGGUUGAUAUGGAGAUGAUU
Molecule: long non-coding RNA, 252 nt
Filed under: Medicago truncatula (barrel medic)
Lineage: Eukaryota; Viridiplantae; Streptophyta; Magnoliopsida; Fabales; Fabaceae
Description: long non-coding RNA (MTRU_LNC000288)
Source: RNAcentral